AUCGAGUAAAAGAAUCCCUUGGAAAAUUUGUUUCAAAUGCAAAUUCCUGAAGUCAGCUCCAGAGAUUCUGUUUCAAGUUUUUCCUCAGAUUAUCACAGAAUACUGAGUACAGUUCCUUGUGCUAUAUACCAGGUGUCCAUUGGCCAAUCACUCCAUAUACCUCAAUGUGCAUAUGUCAGUCUCAGACCUCCAGUCCAUCCCUCCCUGCCACCUGCUCCCUUUGGUAAUGGUAAGUUUGUCUUCAAAGCCUGUGCAUCUGUUUCUCUUCUGCAAAUAAGUUCAUUUGUAUCCAUUUUUUAGAUUCACAUAUAAGUGAUAUCAUAAGAUGUCUCUCUUUCACUGUCUGGCUAACUUAGUAUGAUAAUCUCUAAAUCCAUCCAUGUUGCUGCAAAUGGCAUUAUUUCAUUAUUUUUAAUGCUUAAUUAAUAGUCCAUUGUAUAUAUGUACCACGUCUUCUUUAUCCAUUCCUUUGUCAAUGGACAAUUUACAAUAGCCAAGACAUGUAAGCAACCCAAAGUAUUCUUUUUAGCAAAGGAUAAUGUGUAGUGGUUAUCAAAUUUGGCUAUGGUUGCUAUAGAUCCUAAGAAUUCUGAAAUAAAAAUAUAAGUUAUCUCCACUGACCCCAUGCCACACACCCAAUUUAUAAAUGAUGGGAUAAAGAUAGGAUAAGAGCAAUGGAACCCCAUCUGUGGUGAUAUAAAAUAAAAGACACUGGUGCAUACCUUUUCUGAAAUCCCAAUGGCAGAUCUGGUGAGUGACUUAGGCUCUGGGAGUGAGGACUGCUCAUUAAUAAGGCCCUGAAAAUACUCUUUAAGAGAUCCUUUGCUCAUGGUUGUCCAUGGCCCUAAGCUCUGUCCACCUGAAGGGUCUUCCUUUUCUAUUACAGUGCUUGGCCAAAUCUGAAAUGGGCAUUGGAAGAAUAUGCUGAUACUCGGAUCUUUGUAUAUUAACGGAUCACUGUCUGUGUGUGGGUAUCUGGGUGACCAAGAGUCAUCGUAAGUCUCAAAUCAUCACAAACUCCUGUAUCUUUUAUCAGUACAGCUCUCUCAGAAAUUUAAUAGGAUUUUCAUCUGUUCGAUUCUAGCAAUCAGUUUUCCAGUAGCCACACUCUUCAUUCUUAAAAAGUUUCCCCAAACUCUAUGUGGACAAAACUGAUAAACUGUAUUUUUUUUUUUUUUUGACUUUUUGACUAACGGAAGGCACUUUAAGUCUAUCAGCUUUGGUACAGUAAAUCUACAUCUUACCUUCUUUAUACUGAGUCAUUUCUUCCAGUUGAAAAGUUACUAUGUCAGGAUUCCCACUUCUGGCCAUGAUGGAGAAACAUGGACCCAAUUUAAUAUCCUGCGUUAUACAACUAAAAAGCUGGUAAAACAUGUAAUUGUUUUCACACAUUGGGUAUAAGACAGUAUAGGAUUGUGAUCACUGAGAAAUAGGAAACAAAUGCAUAGGGUUCUAGGAUGCCCUAGUUUUCUAUCUGGAGGCACAUUUGGACCAGUGGGUUAGGGUUAGGGUUAGGGUUAGGGUUAGGGUUAGGGUUAGGGUUAGGGUUAGGGAAGAGGAUGCCAAACAGAGCUGUGGUUGCCUCAGUGAACUGAGAAGGCAAGAGGAUGCCAAACAGAGCUGUGGUUGCCUCAGUGAACUGAGAAGGCAAAGGUAAAAGUUUGGAGUGUCUGAGGUAGCUAGAAUUUGUGGAAAAGAGUUACAGAGAAGAGAAAGUAUCACAGAAAAGACCUCCAGAAAUCUUUGAGUUCCCUCGACUUUAGCUGAAUAACAAACUUUUGGUACAUAGAAUGAAAUUCUAUCAGUUUAGGCCAAAGAACAUCUGGGUAGCCAUGAGCUGAACAGUACCCAGAACUAACCCGUGGCCACAGUAAACUUCUUAGUAAUCACUCAGUGGAGACUAAGAAGGACCAUAGCUUAGUCAUCGGGCUAAGCUAGACCUAAGAGUAAAGGCUAAUCUGGACCCUCGCAAAACGAAAACAAAGGGUGAAAGGAUCAGACCUAAGAGCAAGUAACUUAAUUUAGGAUAGGACAAAGCCCAGACUCCUUAAAGGAAGACAACAAAAUCAAGAUUCUCAACAAUAUAAAUAUAUAUUUUAUCCUGAUACCCAGGAUAAAAUAUAAUGACUACAUAAAAAAAUUAGGAAAAUGAGACCUAUAAUUAGAGCAAAAAUCAGUCAAUAGAAACAGGCCCAGCAGCCAAUAAAUAUCAGUAGAGAAAAUGCUGUCUUUUAAACAAACCGUGCUGGGUCUGUAAAAACAUAAGGAAAAAAAUGAAUGUUGACUUUUACUUCAUGUUGUACACAAAAAUUAACUUGAAAUGUAUAAGUCAAUGAAACAUAAAUGCUAAAGCUAGAAGAACAAGUAGAUAAAAUACCCUUAUGACUUUGGGUAAGCAAAGUUUUUUGUUAGUAUCGAAAGCAUAAAAGUCACUGAUAUGUUGGAGUUUAUCAUUAUUAAAACAGCCACUCUUGGAGUGCUCGUUGUAGCCCAGCAAUAAUGAACCCAACUAGUAUCCAUGUGGAUGAAGGUUCAAUCCCUGGCCUUACUCAGUGGGUUAAAGAUCCAGUGUUGCAGACAUUCUUUAUAUUCUCAACAAUAUAAACUUCAUGAUAUCCAGGAUGUACUGUGGCUCAUAUAUCGUGGUGCUGUGGCUGUGGGGUAGGCCCGCAGCUGCAGUCCAAUUAGACCCCUAGCCUGGGAAUUUCCAUAUGCCUUGGGUGUGGCCAUAGGAAAAAAAAAGGUGAAAACAGCCACUCUUUGAAAGACAUCAUUAAGAAACUGAAAAUAGAAACUACAGAUUAAAUAAAAAUAUCCAAACAGUACAUAAAAUAGCUUUAAGAGUGAUUUAUAUAUUCUGUAUGGGUAUACAACUCUUAACAAUAUAUGAGAGGACAAAUUGUGCAAUAUAGUAGGAACCGAAGAGUUGAUAGACACAUCACAAAAGAGUGUUUUCAGGUAGUUCCUCCAGUAACUUAGCAGGUUAUGAAUCUGACUAGUAUCCACAAAGAUGUGGGUUCAAUCCCUGGCCUUGCUCGGUGGGCUAAGGAUCUGGCAUUGCAGACAUCCUUCAUGUUCUCAACAGUAUAAAGCUCAUGAUAUCCAGGAUAUAAUGUGGCUCAGAUGCGGUGUUGCUACGGCUAUGAUAUAGGCCUGCGGCUGCAGCUCCAAUCAGACCCCUUGCCUGGGAACUUCUGUAUGCUGAUCCAUGGCCAUAAAAUGCAAAAAAAUUUUUAAAAGUUAAAAAAAAAGUAUAUACAAAUGGUUGCUAAGCACAUGAAACAAUGCUCAAUAACGUUAGUCAACAGAGAAAUGUGAAUUCAACUCACAAUGAGAUAAAACUACACAUUAACUUGAAUCUCUAAAAUUAAGACUGACAACCCCAAAUUCUGAUGAGGAUGUAAAGCAAUUGAAAUUAUUAUGUAUUGCUGGUGGGAAGGUAAAAUGGAACAACCACCUUAAAAAACUGAUUGGGGAGCUCCUGCCAUGGCUCAGUGGUUAACGAAUCCGACUAGGAACCAUGAAGUUGAGGGUUCAAUUCCUGGCCUCGCUCAGUGGGUUAAGGAUCCCAUGUUGCCGUGAGCUGUGGUGUAGGUCGCAGAUGCGGCUCGGAUACCGUGUUCCUGUGGCUGUGGCAUAGGCCAGCGGCAGAUUAGACUCCUAGCCUGGGAACCUCCGUAUGCCGCAGGUGUGGCCCUAGAAAAGAUAAAAAAAAAAAAA
This 3720-nucleotide long non-coding RNA is filed under the name Sus scrofa (pig). RNAcentral's name for it is "lncRNA (ENSSSCG00035020016.1)". The record is from RNAcentral. Lineage: Eukaryota; Metazoa; Chordata; Mammalia; Artiodactyla; Suidae.